GCACAGAGAGUAUCUCCUUGGUGCAUUCUGAGGUUCAAGGCGUGUCCUCUUCUUGGCCAGCGAGGAGCCCGUGUUAGCUCCAUGUGUCCCAGGACCCACUCAGUGAACUCAAACCGCCUGAUGCAAGCAGAUUCAUUUCCAAGAAGCACCCUUGAUGAUGGCAAGAGAUGUUUCUAAGGAUGUAGUGGUAGCUGGUGAAGGAAAAUUCUUUACCAGAUCAUGAUACCAGUAACUGUGACUGUAACAUAAUUUUCUGUUCCAAAAACAACAUUAGCAUAUUUCGGCUGUAGAUUCCAUUAGGCUACUUUACAGUACUGGUCGUCAGUCCUGGCUAUGAAAACAAAACUGCUCAGAAUAUUGCAGAAGUCGGAGGGAGAGCCAAGAUUACCUUACAUCCCAGGAAGGUAAUUUUGAAGUGAGCCUCUGGAUGCAGCAGCAGCAGCAGCAGCAGCAGCCUCUGAAGGGAGCCUGCUGUCCUGUUGACCUUGAGUGGGAGAGGAGCCAGAGGCUGCCCUUGGCAGGACCCGAAACCCUUUCUCUUUCCCGCCUCCCAGGUCUGCAGCCCUGAGGCUGCUCCACGCUCGGGCAGGAAGGUGUGCGCACGGAACGCUGGUGACCCUGCAGGGCUGCGCCCGGCUGUGGGCACAGAGACCACAGCCGAGUCCAGUGUCCAGGAAGUUCAGAGUGAUAGUCACUGAACUGCUGCAUUGAGGAUUAAUCCAAGGAAGUGGCCUUUUGCUCUCUGUAACUCAUGGAAAUAAGCUGGGGGCCCUGCCCCAGGGCCUGUUGGUAUCAAGACACACUGGGCUGCCCAGAGAUUGGGGAAUGUCUCGGUGUCACUUGCUGUCCUCCUGCUUGGAUCAGGUGUCUUGGUGUUUGGGUGACUCCAGCCUUCACUGGGCCUGGGAGAGAAGAACACAGGGGUUGGGGAAAGAACAUGAGACAGAUCCUGACAGUGCCAUGGAUUCGGGUGCCAUCAGGCUUAGAACAGAGAUGUCCCCGCCUGUUUCAAGGACAUACUUGCUCCCAGGAGACAGAGGUCCACACAGCAGGGGAGACUGUAGCCCAUGGCAGGCAAACAAUCUCAUCAAAUACCACUGAGAAGAGAGCCCUGAUACAUUUGCAUCUGACAUUGACGGUCACCAGCUCUGGUGCCAAUGAGCUAUGAUCAGUGACCCCUUUUAAAGAUGCCACCCAGAGGAGGAAAAUGCUACUCAGAGUGAAUCUUCGUGGAUAUAAACCAGAUAAAAUUAUCUCAAGCCCAGAUGGCAAUGUUCUUUAACUGAAUACUUUUUAUGAAUUUGUGCAUAUGUAACUCAUUAAAACCUUUUAUAACAGCA
Molecule: long non-coding RNA, 1340 nt
Filed under: Canis lupus familiaris (dog)
Lineage: Eukaryota; Metazoa; Chordata; Mammalia; Carnivora; Canidae
Description: lncRNA (ENSCAFG00000056504.1, ENSCAFG00845019527.1)
Source: RNAcentral